GAUGAACGCUGGCGGCGUGCCUAAUACAUGCAAGUCGAGCGAACGGACGAGAAGCUUGCUUCUCUGAUGUUAGCGGCGGACGGGUGAGUAACACGUGGAUAACCUACCUAUAAGACUGGGAUAACUUCGGGAAACCGGAGCUAAUACCGGAUAAUAUUUUGAACCGCAUGGUUCAAAAGUGAAAGACGGACUUGCUGUCACUUAUAGAUGGAUCCGCGCUGCAUUAGCUAGUUGGUAAGGUAACGGCUUACCAAGGCAACGAUGCAUAGCCGACCUGAGAGGGUGAUCGGCCACACUGGAACUGAGACACGGUCCAGACUCCUACGGGAGGCGGCAGUAGGGAAUCUUCCGCAAUGGGCGAAAGCCUGACGGAGCAACGCCGCGUGAGUGAUGAAGGUCUUCGGAUCGUAAAACUCUGUUAUUAGGGAAGAACAUAUGUGUAAGUAACUGUGCACAUCUUGACGGUACCUAAUCAGAAAGCCACGGCUAACUACGUG
Molecule: ribosomal RNA, 497 nt
Filed under: uncultured bacterium
Lineage: Bacteria
Description: partial 16S ribosomal RNA
Rfam family: Bacterial small subunit ribosomal RNA
Source: RNAcentral